AGCGUGGAGACAGGUGGUGCAUGGCUGUCGUCAGCUCGUGUCGUGAGAUGUUGGGUUAAGUCCCGCAACGAGCGCAACCCUCACCCCUUGUUGCCAUCAGGUCACGCUGGGCACUCUAGGGGAACUGCCCCGGUCAACGGGGAGGAAGGUGGGGACGACGUCAAGUCAUCAUGCCCCUUACGUCCUGGGCUACACACGUGCUACAAUGGCCGGUACAAAGGGAUGCAAGACUGCGAGGUGGAGCUAAACCCAAAAAGCCGGUCUAAGUUCAGAUUGGAGUCUGCAACUCGACUCCAUGAAGGAGGAAUCGCUAGUAAUCGCGCAUCAGCACGGCGCGGUGAAUACGUUCCCGGGCCUUGUACACACCGCCCGUCACACCACGAAAGCCAGCUGUACUCGAAGUCGCUGAG
RNAcentral lists this ribosomal RNA (410 nucleotides) under uncultured Methylomirabilota bacterium. RNAcentral's name for it is "bacterial SSU rRNA". It matches the Rfam family "Bacterial small subunit ribosomal RNA", at positions 1025 to 1434 of the family's 1533-position model. The record is from RNAcentral. Lineage: Bacteria; Methylomirabilota (SeqCode).